CCCGCCUUAGCUCAACCUGGUAGAGCACUCGGCUGUAGACCGAGGUGUUCCCAGUUCAAAUCUGGGAGGCGGGA
Molecule: transfer RNA, 74 nt
Filed under: Candidatus Aenigmatarchaeota archaeon
Lineage: Archaea; Nanobdellati; Candidatus Aenigmatarchaeota
Also listed under: 1 other name
Description: tRNA-Tyr
Rfam family: tRNA
About the family: Transfer RNA (tRNA) molecules are approximately 80 nucleotides in length. Their secondary structure includes four short double-helical elements and three loops (D, anti-codon, and T loops).
Source: RNAcentral